UACAGAGGUCUCAAGCGUUGUUCGGAUUCAUUGGGCGUAAAGGGUGCGUAGGCGGUCUGCUAAGUUUGGUGUGAAAUCCCGGGGCUCAACCCUGGAAUGGCAUUGAAUACUGGCGGACUAGAGUACCGGAGAGGAAACUGGAAUUUACGGUGUAGCAGUGAAAUGCGUAGAGAUCGUAAGGAAGACCAGUGGCGAAGGCGAGUUUCUGGACGGUAACUGACGCUGAGGCACGAAGGCCAGGGGAGCAAACGGG
This 253-nucleotide ribosomal RNA is filed under the name uncultured bacterium. RNAcentral's name for it is "partial 16S ribosomal RNA". It matches the Rfam family "Bacterial small subunit ribosomal RNA", at positions 524 to 776 of the family's 1533-position model. The record is from RNAcentral.